CUGUUAAUACUCAAAAUAAACCUGUAAUCUCAUUAGAGUCAACAAUAUCAAACUUCUGUUUAAAAAAAUUUCCUUCGAGUAGAAUACUAAUUUAGAAAAACUCCUUGAUAGCUCUUACCUUAAAAUUCUUUGCCCAGGGAUAUUAACUAGAUGGUAAUGGUGUGGAAAUUUCUGUUGGUCUCUUUGUAGUCUGUUUCCAAAUAGUCACUUAUUUCGAAACCAGAGAAACAGGAGCUUAAGAGGGAAAGAGGGAAACCACCCUUAAACAAUAGCCCUGCCUUUAUUCUCUGUAAGUGCCUAGCAACAGAAGCCCAGAGAAAGAGAAACUAAGAUGCCUGAGGGCACUGACCCCCAGUCUGCUCCUAUCCUUUCAAUGCCAAUGUGAUCCUAAGGCUGUUACUAAGAAGUGUUAUCCAACCUGGAGAUUUAGCCACUGUAAUGGAAGUGUUCUGACUAAUAUAAGGCUAAGAGAGUUUUCUCAAAAAACUUGAUGGCGUUAUACUUUGGUAAUUAAUAACAUUUAAGUCAGUAUUGAAAACAGGCAUAAUAUAUCAAUAUAUAUAAAUCUUAUGU
This 573-nucleotide long non-coding RNA is filed under the name Bos taurus (domestic cattle). RNAcentral's name for it is "long non-coding RNA NONBTAT022062". The record is from RNAcentral. Lineage: Eukaryota; Metazoa; Chordata; Mammalia; Artiodactyla; Bovidae.